GUCGAACGUGAAAGCACUUCGGUGUGAGUAGAGUGGCGGACGGGUGAGUAACGCGUGGGAAUCUGCCCAGUAGUGGGGGACAACUACCGGAAACGGUAGCUAAUACCGCAUACGCCCUACGGGGGAAAGGCUUCGGCCGCUAUUGGAUGAGCCCGCGUCAGAUUAGCUAGUUGGUAGGGUAAAGGCCUACCAAGGCAACGAUCUGUAGCUGGUCUGAGAGGACGAACAGCCACACUGGGACUGAGACACGGCCCA
This 255-nucleotide ribosomal RNA is filed under the name uncultured Gammaproteobacteria bacterium. RNAcentral describes it as "partial 16S ribosomal RNA". It matches the Rfam family "Bacterial small subunit ribosomal RNA", at positions 61 to 333 of the family's 1533-position model. Lineage: Bacteria; Pseudomonadati; Pseudomonadota; Gammaproteobacteria. The record is from RNAcentral.